AUUUCAGAUUAAGAGGAUUUGGUUCUCGAGCCUAUCUCGCAGGAAGACGGCGAAUAGACGCCUAAGGAUUUCAUAGUUUUAUUUAUAGCAUUCAUUACUAGUAUUACCUUAGUUAGUUUAUUCUUUCACACGUUGAAUACGUUUUUGGUUAUUGUGUAAGGGAUGUUAACCAGAAUUUUUAUUUUGCUUCCGUACUUAGAACUUUUUAAUACAUACAUUUCAUUUUUAUUUCCGGGG
This 237-nucleotide long non-coding RNA is filed under the name Carica papaya (papaya). Its description in RNAcentral is "long non-coding RNA (CPAP_LNC005526)". The record is from RNAcentral. Lineage: Eukaryota; Viridiplantae; Streptophyta; Magnoliopsida; Brassicales; Caricaceae.